RNAcentral lists this RNase P RNA (398 nucleotides) under Ignavibacteriota bacterium. Its description in RNAcentral is "Ignavibacteriae bacterium RNase P RNA component class A". It matches the Rfam family "Bacterial RNase P class A". Rfam says of the family: Ribonuclease P (RNase P) is a ubiquitous endoribonuclease, found in archaea, bacteria and eukarya as well as chloroplasts and mitochondria. Lineage: Bacteria; Pseudomonadati; Ignavibacteriota. The record is from RNAcentral.
AAGUCAGUCCGGGUAAUUGCUGCACUGUUUAACGGUGUAGAGGAAAGUCCGAACUUCAUAGAACAGGGUGCCGGGUAACUUCCGGGAAUUGUAAGGGAAAUCUUACGAUUACUGCCAGUGCCACAGAAAAUAUACUUCCCCGAUUUAUCGGGGUAAAGGUGAAAAGGCGGGGUAAGAGCCCACCGCUCCAAUGGUAACAUCGGAGGCACGGUAAACCACACCCGAAGCAAGGUCAAAUAGGGAGAUUGUUUCCCAAUAUUAUUGGGAAGCGGGGUUGUUCGCUCCGAUAGUCUCCGGGUAGACCGCUUGACCCGGUUGGUAACAAUUGGGCCAGAUAAAUAAUUGCCGCCCCGAUUUUUUUCGGGAUACAAAAUUCGGCUUACAGGACUAAAUUAUUC